CCUACGGGCGGCAGCAGUGGGGAAUAUUGGACAAUGGGCGAAAGCCUGAUCCAGCCAUGCCGCGUGUGGGAAGAAGGCCUUCGGGUUGUAAAGCACUUUCAGUGGGGAAGAAAGCCUUGGGGCUAAUACCCUCGAGGAAGGACAUCACCCACAGAAGAAGCACCGGCUAACUCCGUGCCAGCAGCCGCGGUAAUACGGAGGGUGCGAGCGUUAAUCGGAAUUACUGGGCGUAAAGCGCGCGUAGGCGGUCUGAUAAGCCGGUUGUGAAAGCCCCGGGCUCAACCUGGGAACGGCAUCCGGAACUGUCAGGCUAGAGUGCAGGAGAGGAAGGUAGAAUUCCCGGUGUAGCGGUGAAAUGCGUAGAGAUCGGGAGGAAUACCAGUGGCGAAGGCGGCCUUCUGGACUGACACUGACGCUGAGGUGCGAAAGCGUGGGUAGCAAACAGGAUUAGAUACCCCUGUAGUC
RNAcentral lists this ribosomal RNA (465 nucleotides) under Vreelandella stevensii. Its description in RNAcentral is "partial 16S ribosomal RNA". It matches the Rfam family "Bacterial small subunit ribosomal RNA", at positions 338 to 795 of the family's 1533-position model. Lineage: Bacteria; Pseudomonadati; Pseudomonadota; Gammaproteobacteria; Oceanospirillales; Halomonadaceae. The record is from RNAcentral.